Molecule: long non-coding RNA, 326 nt
Organism: Arvicola amphibius (Eurasian water vole)
Lineage: Eukaryota; Metazoa; Chordata; Mammalia; Rodentia; Cricetidae
Exons: 3
Source: RefSeq, a predicted model, not a curated record
GAGAAGAGCGGAGGAUGAUGUGGAACCCAGGCUCUUGUGUAGAUGCUCUUCUGAGACCUCUGCCUUCGGUUUUCCAGCGCUCAUCUCAGGUCUCCAGUUCAUGACUGCUGCUGCAGACAUUUUCAGUGGGGUUUUUACCUGCCAAUCAACCCAAUAAGAACUCCCUCACAAGCAUGCCUGAGGCUUGUCUACCAGGUGAUUCUAAAGGAAAUAAACCAGAUAACUCUAGCUUGUAUCAUGUUGACAUAAAACUAUACAGCACACAUGCUAAGCAGAAGCUAAACCUUCAAAGUCCCUGAAGAUCUUUCUAGUGGAGAUACUCAAGG